UCUAAUACCGGAUACGACCUGCSGMGGCAUSKCKGUGGGUGGAAAGCUCCGGCGGUGCAGGAUGAGCCCGCGGCCUAUCAGCUUGUUGGUGGGGUGAUGGCCUACCAAGGCGACGACGGG
RNAcentral lists this ribosomal RNA (120 nucleotides) under Streptomyces tropicalensis. RNAcentral describes it as "partial 16S rRNA". It matches the Rfam family "Bacterial small subunit ribosomal RNA", at positions 162 to 283 of the family's 1533-position model. The record is from RNAcentral. Lineage: Bacteria; Bacillati; Actinomycetota; Actinomycetes; Kitasatosporales; Streptomycetaceae.